RNAcentral lists this long non-coding RNA (481 nucleotides) under Gallus gallus (chicken). Lineage: Eukaryota; Metazoa; Chordata; Aves; Galliformes; Phasianidae. The record is from RNAcentral.
UGGCUGUUUAAAAGGAGAUAUUUGUUCUCAUGGUGAUCACUAAAACUCUGAAGAAGCCUCAGGAACUGUAUCUUUAAAGUGAUAUCUGGGCUACAGUCACAAUUUUGAUUGUGUCCAUGCAGAACAAGAGCAGAUGCUGAAUGCUUCCUCCAGAUCAGUUUAUCAAACAAAUUAUUGAGGCCAGGAAUCAGUUUGAAUUCUGCUAUCAUUUUGUGAACCUGAUUCCUCUGUCUCCCCAUGAGCAACACACAGAGAACAUACAACACCUCCAGUUUAUACAUGAUCUCGUGCAUGAUCUUCAUAGACUGUGGAAGCUGCGUUCGUGUUGAGGUGUUGGCCAGACCACUUUCAUCAGAAGACUCUGUACUGCUCUGCUCUGCCUCUUCAUUUGCCACUCUCAUCAAUGCAUCAAGUACGAGGGCAUUGUCCAGCCAGGUGUACCACUCUUCUAGCUCCUGGAGGAAGCUGGAGGUGCCUGUUG